CGGCAGACGGGUGAGUAACGCGUGGGAACAUACCUCUUGGUUCGGAGCAACACGGGGAAACUUGUGCUAAUACCGGAUAAGCCCUUACGGGGAAAGAUUUAUCGCCGAGAGAUUGGCCCGCGUCUGAUUAGCUAGUUGGUGAGGUAACGGCUCACCAAGGCGACGAUCAGUAGCUGGUCUGAGAGGAUGAUCAGCCACAUUGGGACUGAGACACGGCCCAA
RNAcentral lists this ribosomal RNA (221 nucleotides) under uncultured bacterium. RNAcentral's name for it is "partial 16S ribosomal RNA". It matches the Rfam family "Bacterial small subunit ribosomal RNA", at positions 96 to 334 of the family's 1533-position model. The record is from RNAcentral.